AAGACCUUGCACUUUUGGAGCGGCCGAUGUCUGAUUAGCUAGUUGGUGGGGUAAUGGCCUACCAAAGCUUCGAUCAGUAGCUGGUCUGAGAGGACGGCCAGCCACACUGGGACUGAGACACGGCCCAGACUCCUACGGGAGGCAGCAGUGGGGAAUUUUGGGCAAUGGGCGCAAGCCUGAUCCAGCCAUGCCGCGUGAGUGAAGAAGGCCUUCGGGUUGUAAAGCUCUUUCAGCCGGGAAGAAAAGGUUGCGACUAAUAAUCGCAAUUCAUGACGGUACCGAAAGAAGAAGCACCGGCUAACUACGUGCCAGCAGCCGCGGUAAUACGUAGGGUGCGAGCGUUAAUCGGAAUUACUGGGCGUAAAGGGUGCGCAGGCGGUUUUGUAAGUCAGAUGUGAAAUCCCCGGGCUUAACCUGGGAACU
RNAcentral lists this ribosomal RNA (423 nucleotides) under uncultured bacterium. Its description in RNAcentral is "bacterial SSU rRNA". It matches the Rfam family "Bacterial small subunit ribosomal RNA", at positions 207 to 622 of the family's 1533-position model. The record is from RNAcentral.